This 470-nucleotide ribosomal RNA is filed under the name uncultured bacterium. RNAcentral describes it as "bacterial SSU rRNA". It matches the Rfam family "Bacterial small subunit ribosomal RNA", at positions 335 to 803 of the family's 1533-position model. The record is from RNAcentral.
ACUCCUACGGGAGGCAGCAGUGGGGAAUAUUGCACAAUGGGCGCAAGCCUGAUGCAGCCAUGCCGCGUGUAUGAAGAAGGCCUUCGGGUUGUAAAGUACUUUCAGCAGUGAGGAAGGCAGGUACGUUAAUAGCGUGCUUGUUUGUACGUUAGCUGCAGAAGAAGCACCGGCUAACUCCGUGCCAGCAGCCGCGGUAAUACGGAGGGUGCGAGCGUUAAUCGGAAUUACUGGGCGUAAAGCGCAUGCAGGUGGUUGUUAAGUCAGAUGUGAAAGCCCGGGGCUCAACCUCGGAAUAGCAUUUGAAACUGGCAGACUAGAGUACUGUAGAGGGGGUAGAAUUUCAGGUGUAGCGGUGAAAUGCGUAGAGAUCUGAAGGAAUACCGGUGCGAAGGCGGCCCCUGGACAGAUACUGACACUCAGAUGCGAAAGCGUGGGAGCAAACAGGAUUAGAUACCCCUGGUAGCGACUGA